This is a long non-coding RNA of Cryptomeria japonica (Japanese cedar), 621 nucleotides long. RefSeq lists it as uncharacterized. The record is from RefSeq and is a predicted model, not a curated record. Lineage: Eukaryota; Viridiplantae; Streptophyta; Pinopsida; Cupressales; Cupressaceae. The transcript is spliced from 3 exons.
UUUUACAAUGGGUUGGCAACAGAGUUGCUUUUCAGACUUCUGAAAUAACUGCUACAGUAAUUUGUACCAUAAUCUUCAAGCUUAGGUUGAUUUGUGAACUACAUAUAGAUCUUCAGAGCUCUUGUGCUGUGGGCUGCAAAAAAAAUGUUCAGUAAGAGGUUUUGCAAUAUGAGAAUGCUUCAGGGUGCCACAUUGGUAUUGAUUUUCUUCCUGCUGAUGAAUACCCAUGAAUCCUCUGCUUCAAGACUAUUGCUAUCUGAUAUGAGACAUGAAAUAGACAAAGCCAACAAAUCUUCCGGCCACCAGUAUAAGGCUUCAGAGCAUACCAACAAGGAAGCCAAAUGCGAAUCCAUGGGCGGAAAAGAAACUUGUGAAGAUGAAGAGUUCUAUCAUGCUGAUUACAUCUAUACUACUUCUAAACCUGGGCAUUAGACUUUUUAGAAUGAAGAUAUAAGACCAACAUCUUGGGCUGUAAAAUUGUCAGAUUACUCCUAUUAAUUGAGGCAAAGUAUCAGAUUACUCCUAUAGUGCAAUAGUGCACUUAUAUUAAUUGAGGCAAAGUAUCCUUCACAUCAUAAACAUACUAUUUUACUAUAUAUUGUUACUUUAUGUUGGUUUUCA